AUUGAACGCUGGCGGCAUGCCUUACACAUGCAAGUCGAACGGCAGCACGGGUGCUUGCACCUGGUGGCGAGUGGCGAACGGGUGAGUAAUACAUCGGAACAUGUCCUGUAGUGGGGGAUAGCCCGGCGAAAGCCGGAUUAAUACCGCAUACGGUCUACGGAUGAAAGCGGGGGACCUUCGGGCCUCGCGCUAUAGGGUUGGCCGAUAGCUGAUUAGCUAGUUGGUGGGGUAAAGGCCUACCAAGGCGACGAUCAGUAGCUGGUCUGAGAGGACGACCAGCCACACUGGGACUGAGACACGGCCCAGACUCCUACGGGAGGCAGCAGUGGGGAAUUUUGGACAAUGGGCGAAAGCCUGAUCCAGCAAUGCCGCGUGUGUGAAGAAGGCCUUCGGGUUGUAAAGCACUUUUGUCCGGAAAGAAAUCCUUGGCUCUAAUACAGUCGGGGGAUGACGGUACCGGAAGAAUAAGCACCGGCUAACUACGUG
This 486-nucleotide ribosomal RNA is filed under the name uncultured bacterium. RNAcentral describes it as "partial 16S ribosomal RNA". It matches the Rfam family "Bacterial small subunit ribosomal RNA", at positions 30 to 507 of the family's 1533-position model. The record is from RNAcentral.